GUCAGAGUUUGAUCCUGGCUCAGAUUGAACGCUGGCGGCAGGCCUAACACAUGCAAGUCGAGCGGCAGCGGGAAAGUAGCUUGCUACUUUUGCCGGCGAGCGGCGGACGGGUGAGUAAUGCCUGGGGAUCUGCCCAGUCGAGGGGGAUAACAGUUGGAAACGACUGCUAAUACCGCAUACGCCCUACGGGGGAAAGGAGGGGACCUUCGGGCCUUUCGCGAUUGGAUGAACCCAGGU
This 237-nucleotide ribosomal RNA is filed under the name uncultured Aeromonas sp. RNAcentral's name for it is "partial 16S ribosomal RNA". It matches the Rfam family "Bacterial small subunit ribosomal RNA", at positions 1 to 236 of the family's 1533-position model. The record is from RNAcentral. Lineage: Bacteria; Pseudomonadati; Pseudomonadota; Gammaproteobacteria; Aeromonadales; Aeromonadaceae.